RNAcentral lists this ribosomal RNA (1422 nucleotides) under uncultured prokaryote. RNAcentral describes it as "partial 16S ribosomal RNA". It matches the Rfam family "Bacterial small subunit ribosomal RNA". The record is from RNAcentral.
GCCCUUAGAGUUUGAUGCCUGGCUCAGAACGAACGCUGGCGGCGUGGAUCAGGCAUGCAAGUUGAACGAGAAAGUACCUUCGGGUGCGAGUAAAGUAGCAAAAGGGGUAGUAAAGAAUAGAUAACGUACCUUUCAGACUGGGGUAACAUUUAGAAAUGAAUGCUAAUACCGGAUACGUUCUCUGUUGCGCAGUGACAGAGAGGAAAGUAGGGGACCUUCGGGCCUUACACUGAGAGAGCGGUCUAUUUCGUAUUAGAUAGUUGGAGAGGUAAUGGCUCACCAAGUCAUAGAUGCGUAGGGGGCCUGAGAGGGUGAUCCCCACCACCGGAACUGAGACACUGUCCGGACACCUACGGGUGGCUGCAGUCGAGAAUCUUCCGCAAUGGACGAAAGUCUGACGGAGCGACGCCGCGUGAGGGAUGAAGGCCCUAGGGUUGUAAACCUCUGACAGGUAUUAUGAAUAAUCAUAAUUUAAUAUGUUAUGAGAUGACAAAGGUACCAGAGGAAGUCACGGCUAAAUACGUGCCAGCAGCCGCGGUAAUACGUAUGUGGCAAGCGUUGUUCGGAAUUACUGGGCAUAAAGAGUUCGUAGGCGGAAUUAUCAGUUGGGUGUGAAAUCCCUCGGCUUACCCGAGGAACUGCAUUCAAUACUGUAAUUCUGGAGUCCUUGAGGGGAAAGCGGAAUUCCAAGUGUAGCGGUGAAAUGCGUAGAUAUUUGGGAGAAGGCCAAUGGCGAAGGCAACUUUCUGGCGAGUGACUGACGCUGAGGAACGAAAGUUAGGGUAUCGAACGGGAUUAGAUACCCCGGUAGUCCUAACCGUAAACUGUGAGCACUAUGUGAUGGUCUCUUCUGAGCGAUCAUUGCAGUAGCAAAUGCGUUAAGUGCUCCGCCUGGGUAGUACGAUCGCAAGGUUGAAACUCAAAGGAAUUGACGGGGGCUCACACAAGCGGUGGAGCAUGUUGCUUAAUUCGAAGCAACGCGAAGAACCUUACCUGGGCUUGAACUGUAGGGAUUAUCUCUAUGAAAGUAGAGUACGCCGACUGGUGGAACCUACAGAGGUGUUGCAUGGCUGUCGUCAGCUCGUGCCGUGAGGUGUUAGGUUAAGUCCUUUAACGAGCGAAACCCUUGCCUUUAUUUACCAGCGGGUUAUGCCGGGAACUAUAGAGGGACUGCCGGUGUCAAACCGGAGGAAGGUGGGGACGACGUCAAGUCAUCAUGGCCCUUAUGUCCAGGGCUGCAAACGUGCUACAAUGGCAACUGCAAUGCGUCGCGAAAUCGUGAGAUGGAGCUAAUCGCCAAAGGUUGCCUCAGUUCGGAUUGUAGGCUGAAACUCGCCUACAUGAAGUUGGAAUCGCUAGUAAUCGGAGGUCAGCUAUACUCCGGUGAAUAUGUUCCUGAGCCUUGUACACACCGCCCGUCAA